Salvelinus sp. IW2-2015 is the source of this 241-nucleotide non-coding RNA. The record is from RefSeq and is a predicted model, not a curated record. Lineage: Eukaryota; Metazoa; Chordata; Actinopteri; Salmoniformes; Salmonidae.
UGAUUGAGCAAGCUUCACUGGUUAGCGGGCUAUUCAAUGGAAAACGAAAGCUAUUACUAUUCUCCCCAUGGCGUCCAGCAACGUAAAUGACCCUAGUCAAGGGAACAGCUACCAGGAGAACUUCAGCUGCUCUGAGAGUAACUCUGAGAGCAGUGCUACAGAAGAGGAAUCAGACAGUGAUGCAGCAGGACCCCGGCAGGAUCAGGAAGACCUUGCGGUAUACAACAGUGGUCACUGCCGG